RNAcentral lists this ribosomal RNA (280 nucleotides) under uncultured bacterium. RNAcentral describes it as "partial 16S ribosomal RNA". It matches the Rfam family "Bacterial small subunit ribosomal RNA", at positions 506 to 784 of the family's 1533-position model. The record is from RNAcentral.
UGCCAGCAGCCGCGGUAAUACGGAGGGGGUUAGCGUUGUUCGGGAAUUACUGGGCGUAAAGCGCACGUAGGCGGAUUGGAAAGUUGGGGGUGAAAUCCCGGGGCUCAACCCCGGAACUGCCUCCAAAACUAUCAGUCUAGAGUUCGAGAGAGGUGAGUGGAACUCCGAGUGUAGAGGUGAAAUUCGUAGAUAUUCGGAGGAACACCAGUGGCGAAGGCGGCUCACUGGCUCGAUACUGACGCUGAGGUGCGAAAGGGUGGGGAGCCAACCGGAUUAGAUA